This 219-nucleotide unclassified non-coding RNA is filed under the name Hevea brasiliensis (rubber tree). The record is from RNAcentral. Lineage: Eukaryota; Viridiplantae; Streptophyta; Magnoliopsida; Malpighiales; Euphorbiaceae.
AUAAUAAGUCGUUGCGAGAACGGUUUUCAUUUCCAGAGGUGAAUGUGGUUCCAUAUGGACUGGAUGAUAUCAACGAUGGAAUUCCUCGCCUAUCUAGAACAUUAUCUCAGAAAUCUAGAUCAACCAAGUCCAGACAAGCUGUUGCAAAGGUUUCAGAAAUGAGCUCUCUUAUAGGCAGAGCAGGUACUGUUGGGCUUGGAAAGGCUGUUGAUGUUUUGG